Apis mellifera (honey bee) is the source of this 1340-nucleotide long non-coding RNA. RefSeq lists it as uncharacterized. The transcript has 3 exons. NCBI's taxonomy places the organism in Eukaryota, Metazoa, Arthropoda, Insecta, Hymenoptera, Apidae. The record is from RefSeq and is a predicted model, not a curated record.
AAAUUUCAUUACAUACAAUUAUUCUAAGAUCAAAAAAAAAAAAUAUAAGGUUAGAAUCUCACAUCUUUUCCCUUAAGAAAUUUUCUAAAAAUAUUUAAAUUUCUAUAAGUGGAAAACCCAAGUUUCUUCAAAACAAUUGGUUCCAACAUUUCAUCCAAUCAUUCUCUCCGUACAUAUACCUCCGAAUGAUAAAUUCAAAUGUAAUUUGAACAUCUCGACAUUGACGGACAUUUCUAUUUCGUUCGAUGGAAUCGUAGAGGCGAAUUACUCGAGGAGAUCUGAUUUCUUUUUCACCUUCGUCUUUACCACGAAAGCAAAGCUAUCCGCCAGGAUCCGUAUACAAGUAGCGAAGGAGGGGGGGGUUUCUGUCGUCACGUGAUAGAGAUUGAUGGUAUCCUAAACUUCGAAUAGAUAAGAUAAUCUUCAAUGUUAACUAUAUAUAUAUACACGUGUGUUACAGAAGAAGAUGAAUUAUUAUCGAUGUAUUAUAAAUUGUUUCAGUUGUCUUCAUCGAUAUAUCAUAUAAAUUCGAUAUAUAAAGUUAUUAUUGGAGCGAAGAAGAAGAUUCGUAUAAUGAUAGAUUGCAGCGAUACUUCUUAUAAUUAAUUUUCAAAUAAUAUCGAUUCGAUGGAUCGAAUGGCAAGGAAUUAUGGCAUGGUAAACAUCUAAUUCUUUGAGUGUCAAAAGAAGAUUAAUCUUGGAUAAAUUUCACAUUUUAAAGAAGAAAUGUAAAGAAGAAAUUGAUUAUGGUUAAACGUCUAUUGAUUCAUCCAUCAGAUUUAUUUUUCUAAUGAAAAAAUAAUAAGACGACUUGCAUUGUUGAAAUCAAAAGGCUUUUGACAAUAAAUAAAACAUCAACAACAGUAUAUAAUAGAAAAGAACGAAGUUGAAAAGUUAAGUAAUAAAGAUCCGAAAUAGAAUCUAGCUUGGCAAAAAUUUCUUAAAGGAGAAGUAAAAGUCGAGGAAAAAAAUAAAAGUUUUUACAAAAAGAGUUCUACAGUGAAAUGGAGUCACAAUUGUGAGAAAGCAUUUUCUACGUAAUGAGAGGACUUGUUCCCUGAAGUUUCAAAAAAUAUUUUUGAAGAAUCAAACUUUGAGAUAAAUUAUACCAUAAAUAUAUUAAAUAUAUUAAAACAUAUAUAUACAUUUAUACAUUUCAAACAUUAAAUUGGUUAAAUUUUUAAUUGGCGGAUUGGAAAAAUCAAAAAGUAAGAAACACAACUUUAUGGAUGAAUCAGCCAGUUUCAAUGUUACAUAAACAAUUAGUUUUAUAAAGAAAAAAAAAUCCUAUAAAUCUUAUUUAAUACUUUUUAAAUUGAUAUAUUUAUCUAAAACAUGGC